This 4795-nucleotide long non-coding RNA is filed under the name Canis lupus familiaris (dog). Its description in RNAcentral is "lncRNA (ENSCAFG00000053059.1)". Lineage: Eukaryota; Metazoa; Chordata; Mammalia; Carnivora; Canidae. The record is from RNAcentral.
UGACAAAUAUUGACUCAACUGAACACCAGUCACAAUAAUGAUAAACAUGCAUUGAUUGAGCUCUUUCCACGCUGAACUUUGGGUCAUACUCUUUGCCUGUUUUAUCUUACUUAAUAGUCUCAAUAAUUUUUAUGCUAUAACUAUACCUAUUAUUCUCAUUUUACAGUUGAGAAAACUGAAGCACGCAAAGGGUAAGUCACCUGCCCAUGUUCGUAAUGAAAAGGGACAAUAGCAUACAUGUCGGGAUCCACAAGUGUGGCAUUUUCCAAGAUGGUUGCACAAAGCAACAAGUGUUACAUGAUACUUUCUGACAUCAAAUGUGUUUAGGGAACUCAGGGCUCAGUUCAACAGAUUUUACACGGGACUUCCAAGUGACUUUAACAUCCUAAGGGUCACUAGCUUUCCAAGAAGAAUGAAUAAAAGGUUCAUUAUAUCCCAUAAGUAUUUGAUAACACAUUCCAUUUUUCUUAGAGCAUCCUGAAAAACAGUAUUCCUCGGAGCAAAUUUGGAGGGAAGUUUAUACUUAUAAAAAGGACGGUAACUAUUUUCAUACAAUCAUUAGUUGUGACUUUGUUAUGAAGCUGAGAGCCUAAUGCCAACAAAUACAAUUUACAAAAAUAACUCUAAUGUUUUUCCAAAUGUGGUACACGUGGUGUUAGGGGUUGAACUGUGUCCCACAAAUAAGAUACAUUGCAAUUCUAACUGGCAGGACUUCAGAAUGUUAAUUUAUUUGGCAAUAGGGUUGUUACCAACAUAGUUAAAUAAGAUGAAGUCUUAAUGGAGGAGGGUACGCUGCUAUUCUGAUAUGACUGGAUCCUUAUAAAAAGGGGAGAGAGAAGACAGGAAGAAUGUCGUAUGAAGACACACAGACACACGGAGAAAAUUCCAUGUGAUAACCGAGGCAGAGAUUAGAGUGCUGACAGCCAGCACCGGAAACUAGGAAAAGGCAAGGAAAGAUUGGACUCAAACCUUCAGUGGGGGAGCAUGGCCCUGCAGGUACCUUGAUGUUGGACUUCUCCAGAAAUGUGAUGGACUAAUAAAUCUCUGUUGUUAUAAGCCACCCAAUCUGUGGUACUUCGUUACCACGGCCUAGGAAACCAACUUUCAUGAGUUACAAUCAGACAUAAUUUUGAGACAUUGAACAGGAGAUAAAAUCUAGAAUAUGUAGAGCAAAGCAUCCAGAAUACUUAGAGCAAAGCAUCGCGUCAUGGUAAUUAGAACAAAUAAUUUGGAAAGAGACUUGAGAGCAGGUGUCCACGUAGUCGGUUGAAGAGAGAUCUACUUGUUUAUAUUCUUUUUUUUAAAAAAAGCUAAUCUACGGUAACAAAUUUAACAUCUGUCUGACACUUGAUUUUCUUACCUGGAAAAUGGGGCUACCAGCUUACACCUUACAAGAUGAGGAGAGUGACAAACUGGGAAAAAUAGUAAAUGGAAAGUAAGCAAGACAUAGUCCUACAUUGGCCUCUUCACACUACCAAUAUUAUCUCUCCAGCCACCAGCCUUCAGUUCCCUCCUAAAACUCCAAAAGUUAUUUUAGUGAAGGAAGAAUAGGUAUUAUAAAUAGGUUCUCAAGUUAUAAUAUAAUUUCUUAGACACAGGAGCCAUAAAAUAUUAUGCAUUAGCUUAAUGGCUAAUACAUUUUAAAAGCAAUACAUCUACCAGAAGACAGCAUGGAGCCAUAUAUCUUCAAAAAUUAGCCUUCUAGGAAAGGGAUUCCUAGAAAAUCUGCCUCUUAUGAUUAACUUGAACUCAACCUAACAUUACAAAUUUUAAAAUUAUUUAAUUGAAGAGAAUAGUCUUCAAGUAUAUGAUGCAAUGAAAAAGGAAGCACUUACUACCUUAACACUCAAAGUACAAUUUAAAAUAAUGUUACCAUUUUUCUAGACAUAUUUUCAAUUAGCUAAAUUAUCUAAUAUGAUGUAAAGCUGUUUGCCUAAGACUUCAGGUAGAUAAUUUUUACUUAUUCCAAGGGCUUGUCCGAAGCACAGGAAAAAAAAGAAAAAACUUUCUUUUCUUUCUUCUGAGUCCUUUCUCCUAGUUUUCUUACCCUGUCAUGAUCAUGCUUGCCUGCUAUUGCAAUUUAUUCAUGAGUUCAGGACCUCUAGAACGAAUAGAUAAUGCAAUAAAAUAUUGCCUGUAUGCCAUCUAGAAGUCACUCCUGGAUAAAAGAAACUUACUCCACCCUUAUAUUUUGCUGUUCAAUACAGUUUCCUAUAACAACAGUAUCUAUUAUAUCUCAUCAAUGCAAACAUACUGCAUCAAUAUACGGAAGACCAUCAAAAAGGAAGAUUUAUUGUACAAUUUAUUUAAAUGGACAGUGAAAAGCAUGAGUACAUCUAACUGAGGAGUCAGAUUAAAGUACUUGCUAAAAUUUAAGAAACCCACACAUGUGCUACAGUAACAAGUAACUGAAUUAGCAUCCUUAGAAGAUGAGCUAUUCCAUGCAAGUAGGUUCCCAGGUAACUGAAACUUGCAACUCUAACAGAUAAACUUUGGAAAAGAAAUUCUCAUUCCUGUUGAUGGAAAUCUUUGAAAUAUAUGACCUCGUCUUGUGAUUUCUAGUUGUUACCUAAAAGAAGUACUUGAACUUCAAUAUAACAUUAACCUAUAAGGUUAUGACCACAUAAGGAAUAAGAUGAGCUCUUACAGAAAUCUGCCUACAGGACUAGAUUUCUCCCAAAUCAAUCCUUAAAGAGCAAUCUGGAAAUCUAAUUACAGCAUUGUUAAAUAGGAAAAAUGUCUUUAUGCAAUCAACAGUAGGACCACACCCCCAGAAAGACUAUCUAGGUUGUUGUGGGCGACAGCAUAACGCUUCCAGCAAAAUGUCCCCCCCAACCCAGGAGCCUGUGACUAUGUCACCUUACACGCAGAAGACAUUGUGCAACUGUGAUUAAGUUAAGAUUCGUGAUGGGGGAGGGAGGUAAUCAAGUGUUAUCAAGGCAGGCCCAAUGCACUAACAAGGAUCAAGGUAAGCAAAAGGAAGUGGCGGGAGAAUCAGAUGGAGAGGGAAGGACAGAGAAAGAGACAGAGACUGAUUUGCAAUGUUACUCUGCUGGCUCGGAAGAUGGAAGGGGGCCAGGAGCCAGGGAAUACAGGCAGCUUCCAGAAGCUGGGAAAAGGCAGGAAACAGAUUGUCUCCUAGAGCCUCCGUAAGAAAGCCCGGCCCUGCCAACACCUGGACUGGAGCCCAGUGAGAUCCACUCAGACUUCUAACCCCCACAACGCUGAGAUGUACCUUGGAUUAAGCCACUAAGUUUGGGGUGAUUUGUUACAGCUGUAUGAAGAAACCAGGAUGGUGGUCUUCAUAGAAUACUGAAAAAAAAAAAAUAAAUAAAUAAAAGGACAGUGAAAAAGAGCAAAAGGUCAGGAAGACUAUUUUCUGCAGCAUGACCAAAGGAAAGAGACCCUGAUCUCACUGGCUGGGAGAAAGGCGUACUCUUCUGGGUCAGGAGGUCUCAUUGGGCUUUUAAGAGUCUUGAAUAAAAAAAUUCCACAAGACAAUGUCAGUAGCUUUGAUUUGCUUCUGUGCUCACUGUGCAAACAGCUCGUGACCAUAUCGUUUCUAGGAUAUAACACAGGAAAAAAAAAAAAAAAAGUGCUCUGGCUGUUGAACUGUAAUGUACAGAUAGCAUGGUCUCCACCACCAGUGAGCCCAAAGUAAGUGGUAUGCAUCCAACCUUGUGAGUCCCUCUUAAAAGAUGCAUCGUGAACAACUGAGUAUCUGGCCUGUCAUGGUUGGGGACCAGAUUGAUGGCAACUCUUUCUGAGGUCUAGGUGCCCUGUCAUGAACCCUCUCUCACAUCUUUAUCUCACUCCCUUUGAUUUUGACACUUCCUUGAAUGGAUACCUUGAGAAUUGUUUAAAAUAUCUUAAGACUGAUUCAGGGGCAUUAUCACGGUAACAUAAAGCUCGUAAAUAGAUUUUAAGGGCUUGUUAGGUACCAGGCAAUAUACUAUGAACUUCUACAUCACCAAUUUCUUGUAGUCUUCGAAGUAAUUUCUGAGGCAUCUUACAGGUGAGGAAAUGAGAUGUACACCACCAGGUAAGUAACUUAUCCAAGAUCACACAAUUCACAUAGAGCCAGAAAUUGAAUCCCCAUGUGUCUGACUGCAAAGCCCCAAGCCUUGAACAAUGACCACUGCGAUCCAGUGACGUUGCUGGGGGUUACUUCUGGUUUUUCACUCACGCAGCAAACUGCCCCUGAGAGCUGGAUUUCUGAAAUUCGUUUAUGGUGUCUUUACCAGUUUUUCCUAUCUUGUUAUCAGAAUUCAACUUAUAUCUGCCACAGAAAUUAGGAAACAAAGCUUAUUUUAAAAAGUAUGUCCAAAUUAUAGCUCAUGGACUAUUACUCUGUAGCAGAGCACUUUAUGUGUCACCUUUUGUUGUGAAAACAGCAGCCUUGCAAAUCACUUUAAGAUAAAAUAAUGCCAUCUAUCCUAGUAAAUUAGUGACUCAAAAGAAUUUGUCACACUCAUUUGUAAUCAUCAGUUGUGUGUUUUUCUGGUUAGAUUCUAAACUAUCUGACAGAAAGAACCAUGUAUUACCUGAGUUUGUAUCCCUGUCACGGAAUAUCCUUGAGAAAAAUCUCUUCCAAGAGGCCUGAAAAACACACCUACAGCACCCGCUGGAAAAAAAGUCUUUCCUAUCGGAAGCUGGUGACAUUAGCAGACUCUGUAUACUGUAUCUGUUGCCCUAAACAAACUGCCUUCAGGUCUGAGCGCCUUUUCCCAAAACUAGAGAGUGCAUAUUGCAAUAAGAAAGAAGAACACCAAAAAAUUAAAAAAAAAAAAAAAAA